Molecule: long non-coding RNA, 1884 nt
Organism: Callithrix jacchus (white-tufted-ear marmoset)
Lineage: Eukaryota; Metazoa; Chordata; Mammalia; Primates; Cebidae
Source: RefSeq, a predicted model, not a curated record
GUGCAGGGUUCUGGGUCACGCGCUUGGCUCUGAUUGAAGGAGGUUGCCCACACAUACCCACAGGCAGAAAAACGGAGCCUGCCGUCCCACCCCAUCACCAGGACAAAAGGGGUGAUGGGGUGGGAUCAGCAUUCUUCAUUUCCACAACCUAUCCCGUGGCCCUUGGGUGACUUUUCCUGUGCUCCUCCCCCAAUAUGAUAUUCUCCCCUAGGGAAUAAAUAGAGACACAGAGGAGGAAGCAGGAAAAGAGUCAAUCAUAUAAGAACCAGUGGGAAACAUUUUAUGAGGGACUGGAGAGAAACAGAGAAAGAUUAUACUGGAAAUUGUUGAAAAGAAGAUUCUCCCAUAAAUAGUGAAAAAUAUUCAUUCCCCAUGUGGUCAACACAGCAGGAUUCUGGACUCCCACUUGUCAUCCCACAAGUACCUGUCCAGUGUUAUAUGUUGACCAACUGAUCCUGGACAAAUCUCGGCUGUCUCCAUUUUAAAUUGAAAUGCCCACAUCCCAGAAAGCCCCUCAGUCUGAGACACUGACUUCUCUCCAGGACAAGAAAGUGUCGGUGGUCCCUGUAUCAUCACAUCCUCUCUGUAGAGCAAGAAAUUUACGGCAUCAUCUUGCUGGUAGCUGACUUGGCAGCAGGCUGACCCAACAGUGGCAUAACUUAUACAUAUGGCCUCCCAAUUCAAAGUCUAAGCAUUAUAAGGAAUACAGAGUCCUUCUCCCUUUCCUCACAUUCAUGAACUUUAAAACUGAAAAGUCUUGGAUUUCUGAAUGCUUUGGCUACAGCACGUUUUUGUUUUGGUGUCAAUAAGUGCACUUUUAAAAAUAUCUAUCCUAAAAUGAAUCACCUCCAUAUCAAUCAGUAUUUGCCAGGCUGCAUUAGGUUUUGAGAUCACAUUGCUUUAAUCAGAUUAUAAUGUACUCAUACCCACAUUCCACUGCUCCAGAAAAUUCAGUCUUUCCACCAGAAUCUGUCCCAAAAGGUUUCUGGAAAUGCCCUAGAGAUGUUUCUCCACUACCCAGUCCUUGGAAGACCAGCAAUCUGCCACCAGGCCCCUGAUGGUCCCCGGCCCAUGAAGCCUGGCUCAUUCCACAAUCUCCUUGUCUCCCAUUUUCCUACUCCCUACGCCCAGCCUCCUCCCAAGUGUGAACACAGACUCUUUUACCUAAUCACCACCGCAGCCCUGAGAACCUGAUAUAAAUGUAGCAGGAAACCAAGGGGAAGUGCCAGCUGAAUAAUGUAACUGCUCCUGCGUGGGACCAUUCUCAGUAUAGGGUGACAUCAAGUUGUGAAUGGUAGCAAAAACUUCAUCAUCAGAUAGGUACGAAUUCUGCCCCUAGUAGUUGUGUUACCCUGAAACCCCCAUCUAUGCUCCCUGAGAUGGCUCCCUCAUCUGUAAGAUGAGAAAAAUGAAAAAUAGUAUCUAGCCCACAUGAAAACUGAUAUAUGAAUGUCCAAACAGUGGAAACAUCCCAAAUGCCCAUCAGCAGAUGAAUGGAUCAACAAAACGUGGCCAUAUUUAGCAAUGGAAUAUUUUUUGGCAAAAAAAGGAACGAAGUACUGAUAUACACUACAGCAUCAAGGAACCGCUAAGUGAAAGAAGCCAGUCACAAAAGACCAUACAUCACAUGAUUCAGACGAAGUGCCCAGAAUGGGAAAUCUACGGAGAAAGAAAGAUCAGUGGCUGCCUAGGGCUGGGGAUGGAGGUGAGUAGGAAGGAAAUGGGCAGUGACUAUUAAUGGGUAUAAGCUUUCUCUGUAGGAUGACAAAAAUGUUCUAAAAUUAGAUUAUGGUGAUGGGCAAACAACUCUGUAAAUAUACUAGAAAAAUCCAAUGAAUUGUACAAUUUAAAUAGGCUAUGUAAAUUAUAUAUCAAUAAAGCUAU